ACAUGGACAGGAGUCUGGGGUCAGACCAUGGGGGUGGGUAGUCUGGAGGUCCCAGGGCCUUUGAUGGAGGGGCCAGCAGCAAGGCCCCACGGGGUGGGCCGGAAGGCACAGUUCAUACAUGCCCUCCUCCUGCCAUCCCGGCCUUGCACACAUUGGCACUGACAACCAUCAGCCCUGCCUCUGCCUCUUGCCCGUGUCCCGGGCCCAGGUGCCGUCUCCACCUCCACCCUUGGGACCAAAGUAGAGUCAGAGGGAGGGCAACAUCUGGAAUGCAGGUGGGCUGGGUCAGAACAGCAGCUGGAGGGCAGGUGUAGAGGGAGUCAGCAGGAGCAAAGGGGCCUGGGGGCUGGAGGUGGGCCCGGUGCACAGCUGCAUCACAGCUGGUGGGGGCCCAGGCUGGGACUGAAGGGGCACAUGGCUGAGAUCGGGAGAAGGUGGGCUGGGUUGGGUGAGCCGAAG
Molecule: long non-coding RNA, 459 nt
Filed under: Marmota monax (woodchuck)
Lineage: Eukaryota; Metazoa; Chordata; Mammalia; Rodentia; Sciuridae
Source: RNAcentral